RNAcentral lists this transfer RNA (69 nucleotides) under Brachymeles elerae. RNAcentral's name for it is "tRNA-Ala". It matches the Rfam family "tRNA". From Rfam's summary of the family: Transfer RNA (tRNA) molecules are approximately 80 nucleotides in length. Their secondary structure includes four short double-helical elements and three loops (D, anti-codon, and T loops). Further hydrogen bonds mediate the characteristic L-shaped molecular structure. tRNAs have two regions of fundamental functional importance: the anti-codon, which is responsible for specific mRNA codon recognition, and the 3' end, to which the tRNAs corresponding amino acid is attached (by aminoacyl-tRNA synthetases). tRNAs cope with the degeneracy of the genetic code in two manners: having more than one tRNA (with a specific anti-codon) for a particular amino acid; and 'wobble' base-pairing, i.e. permitting non-standard base-pairing at the 3rd anti-codon position. Lineage: Eukaryota; Metazoa; Chordata; Lepidosauria; Squamata; Scincidae. RNAcentral also lists the same sequence under 1 other name. The record is from RNAcentral.
GAGGCCUUAGCUUAAUUAAAGCAUUUGAGUUGCAAUCAGAAGAUGUAAGUUAGAGUUUUACAUGCCUUG